AGAACAGGGUCUCCUUGAGGGGCCUCUGCCUCUAUCCAGGAUUCUUGUUUUAUGACCAGGAGGCUGAGGUCCCUUACAGGCGGCCCCUUACUCU
MicroRNA precursor from Microtus ochrogaster (prairie vole), 94 nucleotides. Ensembl annotates it as microRNA 665. Its record names the gene Mir665. The record is from Ensembl. Lineage: Eukaryota; Metazoa; Chordata; Mammalia; Rodentia; Cricetidae.